CCUACGGGAGGCAGCAGUAGGGAAUAUUCCGCAAUGGGCGAAAGCCUGACGGAGCGACGCCGCGUGAGCGAUGAAGGUCUUCGGAUCGUAAAGCUCUGUUGUUAGGGAAGAACAAGCACCGGAGUAACUGCCGGUACCUUGACGGUACCUAACCAGAAAGCCCCGGCUAACUACGUGCCAGCAGCCGCGGUAAU
RNAcentral lists this ribosomal RNA (194 nucleotides) under uncultured Bacillus sp. RNAcentral describes it as "partial 16S ribosomal RNA". It matches the Rfam family "Bacterial small subunit ribosomal RNA", at positions 338 to 524 of the family's 1533-position model. The record is from RNAcentral. Lineage: Bacteria; Bacillati; Bacillota; Bacilli; Caryophanales; Bacillaceae.